RNAcentral lists this unclassified non-coding RNA (313 nucleotides) under Hevea brasiliensis (rubber tree). The record is from RNAcentral. Lineage: Eukaryota; Viridiplantae; Streptophyta; Magnoliopsida; Malpighiales; Euphorbiaceae.
GGAAGUUCUCUGCUAACUGUCGCAAUUUUCACUUCAUGAAACAGAAGGGUAUAACUUUAGCAAGUAGUGGAUGAAUUUCUGUUAGAAUAUUUCUGAUUACUUGUCACCAAGUGAAGCAAUAUUGUGAAAAAGACUUUAUUCUAUACACUGUGGCUUAGUCACUUGUGGAGGAGCAAUUAAUUUUUAAGGGAGAAUUCCCCCGGAUUCUGCCUGGUCACGGUGAAAUUCUUAUGUGAACCUAGAUCAUGAUGUAAGAUUUGGAAUAUUUUUGAGUUAAUGCGAGCAGGAACAAACCCAGCAAGGUAAUUAAAAG